UACUAGCAUAUGUUAACGUUGCUGCAGUUAAAACGCUCGUAGUUGGGGUGAGAGGUUGAACGAAACGGCUCCGAAAGGAGCUGCGACGAACGGCCUUUUUUUGGCGGCUACCCGUUAGUUCGGGUGCCACCGGUAAACCUUGAAAAAAUAUUGACGCUCAAACUUGGACUUUGGUCCUAGUUCUUUCUGCAUGGGAUUUUGGAAAACGCGCGGGGGGUAAAACUCUCGCGAAUGACCUUUGAGGAUGAUAGUGGCAGUUCAUAUUGAGACGUCAGAGGUGAAAUUCUUGGAUUGUCAUAAGAUGAACUGAUGCGAAAGCGUCCUGCAAUAGCUUUCCUGUCAAC
RNAcentral lists this ribosomal RNA (344 nucleotides) under uncultured eukaryote. RNAcentral's name for it is "partial 18S ribosomal RNA". It matches the Rfam family "Eukaryotic small subunit ribosomal RNA", at positions 592 to 977 of the family's 1831-position model. The record is from RNAcentral.